UACGUAGGUGGCAAGCGUUGUCCGGAUUUAUUGGGUUUAAAGGGUGCGUAGGCGGCUUUGUAAGUCAGUGGUGAAAUACGGCAGCUCAACUGUCGAGGUGCCAUUGAUACUGCAGAGCUAGAGUACUGAUGAGGUAGGCGGAAUGGACGGUGUAGCGGUGAAAUGCUUAGAUAUCGUCCAGAACACCGAUAGCGAAGGCAGCUUACUAAAGAGUAACUGACGCUGAGGCACGAAAGUGUGGGGAUCAAACAGGAUUAGAUACCCCCGUAGUCC
RNAcentral lists this ribosomal RNA (273 nucleotides) under uncultured bacterium. Its description in RNAcentral is "partial 16S ribosomal RNA". It matches the Rfam family "Bacterial small subunit ribosomal RNA", at positions 524 to 796 of the family's 1533-position model. The record is from RNAcentral.